RNAcentral lists this ribosomal RNA (264 nucleotides) under uncultured bacterium. RNAcentral describes it as "partial 16S ribosomal RNA". It matches the Rfam family "Bacterial small subunit ribosomal RNA", at positions 793 to 1055 of the family's 1533-position model. The record is from RNAcentral.
GUCCACGCCGUAAACGAUGUCGACUAGCCGUUGGGAGCCUUGAGCUCUUAGUGGCGCAGCUAACGCAUUAAGUCGACCGCCUGGGGAGUACGGCCGCAAGGUUAAAACUCAAAUGAAUUGACGGGGGCCCCGCACAAGCGGUGGAGCAUGUGGUUUAAUUCGAAGCAACGCGAAGAACCUUACCAGGCCUUGACAUCCUAUGAACUUUCCAGAGAUGGAUUGGUGCCUUCGGGAGCAUAGAGACAGGUGCUGCAUGGCUGUCGU